GAUGUAGAGUUUAAAGUACCCAAAGCUCUUAAGCCCGAGAAAUAUGGUUCUCAGUUUAUGGAUGCCCUUGGCGGUUCCGCUUUCGACCAGCAGAAAAUGAUUGAAACAAGAAAGAAAUCGAUCUUGAGAGAACGUCUAACAUUGAAUGGCAUCCAGAGGCUUAAACGCACUUUAAAGGAUAUUUUGCACAAGUCUAUUGAGCACCGGUUAAGUGGAGCUGAAUGGAAUAACGUGAUGAUGGCGUUGUACUUCCAUCCUUGACGAGACGAGAAGAUCGGCUCUGGGGUUCUGGAAAUAAAGGUAGGUAAACACCAUGAACAUAAGGCUCGCUGCUUUCUUUUGGUAAAAAUAGAUGGGACAACCGAAGAUUUCUCAUACCAUAAAUGUUUUCUCGGCGCUCUCGAGAUCAUUCGCCCCCGUUAAGGCGAAAUCCUACAAGUUAAACCGGUCACAACCCUGUAAUUAACAUACAAACCCGAAUCGUAACUCAACAAGGACCUCUUGUAGCAUAAUAUAUGAAAGAUCCAGUGCAUAGAAAAAAUUGCCAUAAGG
This is a long non-coding RNA of Hibiscus syriacus, 552 nucleotides long. RefSeq lists it as uncharacterized. NCBI's taxonomy places the organism in Eukaryota, Viridiplantae, Streptophyta, Magnoliopsida, Malvales, Malvaceae. The record is from RefSeq and is a predicted model, not a curated record. The transcript is spliced from 3 exons.